Molecule: ribosomal RNA, 468 nt
Filed under: uncultured bacterium
Lineage: Bacteria
Description: partial 16S ribosomal RNA
Rfam family: Bacterial small subunit ribosomal RNA
Source: RNAcentral
GACGAACGCUGGCGGCGUGCUUAACACAUGCAAGUCGAACGGAAAGGCCCUGCUUUUGUGGGGUGCUCGAGUGGCGAACGGGUGAGUAACACGUGAGUAACCUGCCCUUGACUUUGGGAUAACUUCAGGAAACUGGGGCUAAUACCGGAUAGGAGCUCCUGCUUCAUGGUGGGGGUUGGAAAGUUUCGGCGGUUGGGGAUGGACUCGCGGCUUAUCAGCUUGUUGGUGGGGUAGUGGCUUACCAAGGCUUUGACGGGUAGCCGGCCUGAGAGGGUGACCGGCCACAUUGGGACUGAGAUACGGCCCAGACUCCUACGGGAGGCAGCAGUGGGGAAUAUUGAACAAUGGGCGGAAGCCUGAUGCAGCAACGCCGCGUGCGGGAUGACGGCCUUCGGGUUGUAAACCGCUUUCGCCUGUGACGAAGCGUGAGUGACGGUAAUGGGUAAAGAAGCACCGGCUAACUACGUG